AACCCUGAGAGAUGAUCAGGUAGAUAGGAUGGAAGUGGAAGUGCAGUGAUGCAUGGAGCGGACCAUUACUAAUCGGUCGAGGACUUAACCAAA
Molecule: ribosomal RNA, 93 nt
Filed under: Ligilactobacillus aviarius
Lineage: Bacteria; Bacillati; Bacillota; Bacilli; Lactobacillales; Lactobacillaceae
Description: Lactobacillus aviarius partial 23S ribosomal RNA
Rfam family: Bacterial large subunit ribosomal RNA
Source: RNAcentral